AAAUGAAUUGACGGGGGCCCGCACAAGCAGUGGAGUAUGUGGUUUAAUUCGAAGCAACGCGAAGAACCUUACCAGGGCUUGACAUCCCUCGAAUUGCGUGGAAACGCGCAAGUCCUACGGGACGGGGAGACAGGUGGUGCAUGGUUGUCGUCAGCUCGUGUCGUGAGAUGUUGGGUUAAGUCCCGCAACGAGCGCAACCCUUGUUGUUAGUUGCCAGCACGUAGAGGUGGGCACUCUAACGAGACUGCCGGUGACAAAUCGGAGGAAGGUGGGGACGACGUCAAAUCAUCAUGCCCUUUAUGUUCUGGGCUACACACGUACUACAAUGGCUACAACAGAGGGCAGCUAAGCCGCGAGGCGGAGCGAAUCCCAGAAAAGUAGUCUCAGUUCGGAUUGCGGGCUGCAACUCGCCCGCAUGAAGUCGGAAUUGCUAGUAAUGGCAGGUCAGCAUACUGCCGUGAAUACGUUCCCGGGCCUUGUACACACCGCCCGU
RNAcentral lists this ribosomal RNA (493 nucleotides) under uncultured bacterium. Its description in RNAcentral is "bacterial SSU rRNA". It matches the Rfam family "Bacterial small subunit ribosomal RNA", at positions 903 to 1397 of the family's 1533-position model. The record is from RNAcentral.